AUUGAACGCUGGCGGCAGGCCUAACACAUGCAAGUCGAGCGGAUGAAGGGAGCUUGCUCCUGGAUUCCGCGGCGGACGGGUGAGUAAUGCCUAGGAAUCUGCCUGGUCGUGGGGGAUAACGUCCGUAAACGGGCGCUAAUACCGCAUACGUCAUGAGGGAGAAAGUGGGGGAUCUUCGGACCUCACGCUAUCAGAUGAGCCUAGGUCGGAUUAGCUAGUUGGUGGGGUAAAGGCCUACCAAGGCGACGAUCCGUAACUGGGCUGAGAGGAUGAUCAGUCACACUGGAACUGAGACACGGUCCAGACUCCUACGGGAGGCAGCAGUGGGGAAUAUUGGACAAUGGGCGAAAGCCUGAUCCAGCCAUGCCGCGUGUGUGAAGAAGGUCUUCGGAUUGUAAAGCACUGUAAGUUGGGAGGAAGGGCAGUAAGUUAAUACCUGGCUGUUUUGACGGUACCAAAAGAAUAAGCACCGGCUAACUUCGUG
RNAcentral lists this ribosomal RNA (484 nucleotides) under uncultured bacterium. Its description in RNAcentral is "partial 16S ribosomal RNA". It matches the Rfam family "Bacterial small subunit ribosomal RNA", at positions 30 to 507 of the family's 1533-position model. The record is from RNAcentral.